ACAAACCGGAGGAAGGUGGGGAUGACGUCAAGUCCUCAUGGCCCUUAUAGGUGGGCUACACACGUCAUACAAUGGCCGGUACAAAGGGCAGCCAACCGCGAGGGGGAGCCAAUCCCAUAAAGCCGGUCGUAGUCCGGAUCGCAGUCUGCAACUCGACUGCGUGAAGUCGGAAUCGCUAGUAAUCGUGGAUCAGUAUGUCACGGUGAAUACGUUCCCGGGUCCUU
This 224-nucleotide ribosomal RNA is filed under the name uncultured Allobrachymonas sp. Its description in RNAcentral is "uncultured Brachymonas sp. partial 16S ribosomal RNA". It matches the Rfam family "Bacterial small subunit ribosomal RNA", at positions 1158 to 1382 of the family's 1533-position model. Lineage: Bacteria; Pseudomonadati; Pseudomonadota; Betaproteobacteria; Burkholderiales; Comamonadaceae. The record is from RNAcentral.